Long non-coding RNA from Carassius auratus (goldfish), 444 nucleotides. RefSeq lists it as uncharacterized. The transcript has 2 exons. The record is from RefSeq and is a predicted model, not a curated record. Lineage: Eukaryota; Metazoa; Chordata; Actinopteri; Cypriniformes; Cyprinidae.
GAAAGUGUUGAUUGGAUCAGAUUCAAGCAGUGCAUUAAAUAGUUUUAAGAACAUGCAGUCGGACGUGAGGCAGGACAUUAUGUUGGAAAUAGCCCAAACUGUUUACAGAAUUAAAAGAGUAGGAGUAAUAGUAAAAUUCAUAUGGAUUCCAGCUCAUAUAGGGGUAGACGGAAAUGAGUUGGCAGACAAAUAUGCAAAAAAUGCAACCAAAAAAACAGAGAUAGAUAUGGUAAUAAAUUAUAGUAAGGCGGAGGUUAAAAGUAUAAUCAAAGAAGAAAUGAGGAAGAAGUGGCAGGAAAAGUGGAAUAUGGAAACAAAAGCGAGAAUGUACUACAAUAUCCAGAAGAAGAGUAGUGAGUGAAGGCUAUUAGGAUCCACACUCCAUUUCAGAAGGUGGCGGUAAUGCACACUUAAAAGUUGUUUGCCAACCGCCAAUUUAAAAAA